This 780-nucleotide ribosomal RNA is filed under the name uncultured bacterium. RNAcentral's name for it is "bacterial SSU rRNA". It matches the Rfam family "Bacterial small subunit ribosomal RNA", at positions 97 to 893 of the family's 1533-position model. The record is from RNAcentral.
GGCGGACGGGUGAGUAACACGUAGGUAACCUACCCUUAAGCGGGGGACAACUCAGGGAAACUUGAGCUAAUACCGCAUAAGACCACGGGCUGAGAUGCCAGUGGGAAAAGGAGCAAUCCACUUAAGGAUGGGCCUGCGGCCUAUCAGGUAGUUGGUGAGGUAACGGCCCACCAAGCCAGAGACGGGUAGCCGGACUGAGAGGUUGAACGGUCACACUGGAACUGAGAUACGGUCCAGACUCCUACGGGAGGCAGCAGUGGGGAAUAUUGCACAAUGGGGGAAACCCUGAUGCAGCGACGCCGCGUGGAGGAUGAAGGCCUUCGGGUUGUAAACUCCUUUUGUAGGGGAAGAUAAUGACGGUACCCUGCGAAUAAGCCACGGCUAACUCUGUGCCAGCAGCCGCGGUAAGACAGAGGUGGCGAGCGUUGUUCGGAAUUACUGGGCUUAAAGGGCGAGUAGGCGGUGGAGCAAGUCUGAGGUGGAAUCCUACGGCUUAACCGUAGAACUGCCUUAGAAACUGUUUUACUUGAGUCAAUGAGGGGAGGGCGGAAUUCCUGGUGUAGCGGUGAAAUGCGUAGAUAUCAGGAGGAAGGCCUGUGGCGAAAGUGGCCCUCUGGCAUUGUACUGACGCUGAGGCGCGAAAGCGUGGGGAGCAAACAGGAUUAGAUACCCUGGUAGUCCACGCCCUAAACGGUGGGCAUUAGGUGUAGGGCUCGUAAGGGUUCUUGUGCCGAAGGGUAAACCAAUUAAAUGCCCCGCCUGGGGAGUACGGCCGCAAGC